Molecule: ribosomal RNA, 643 nt
Filed under: [Candida] sp.
Lineage: Eukaryota; Fungi; Ascomycota; Saccharomycetes; Saccharomycetales
Description: LSU rRNA
Rfam family: Eukaryotic large subunit ribosomal RNA
Source: RNAcentral
CGACGAGUCGAGUUGUUUGGGAAUGCAGCUCUAAGUGGGUGGUAAAUUCCCAUCUAAAGCUAAAUAUUGGCGAGAGACCGAUAGCGAACAAGUACAGUGAUGGAAAGAUGAAAAGAACUUUGAAAAAGAGAGUGAAAAAGUACGUGAAAUUGUUGAAAGGGAAGGGGCUUGAGAUCAGACUUGGUAUUUUGCAUGUUGCUCUCUCGGGGGCGGCCGCUGCGGUUUACCGGGCCAGCAUCGGUUUGGAGCGGCAGGAUAAUGGCGGAGGAAUGUGGCACGGCUUCUGCUGUGUGUUAUAGCCUCUGACGAUACUGCCAGCCUAGACCGAGGACUGCGGUUUUUUACCUAGGAUGUUGGCAUAAUGAUCUUAAGUCGCCCGUCUUGAAACACGGACCAAGGAGUCUAACGUCUAUGCGAGUGUUUGGGUGUAAAACCCGUACGCGUAAUGAAAGUGAACGAAGGUGGGGGCCUAUUAGGGUGCACCAUCGACCGAUCCUGAUGUGUUCGGAUGGAUUUGAGUAAGAGCAUAGCUGUUGGGACCCGAAAGAUGGUGAACUAUGCCUGAAUAGGGUGAAGCCAGAGGAAACUCUGGUGGAGGCUCGUAGCGGUUCUGACGUGCAAAUCGAUCGUCGAAUUUGGGUAU